UACGUAGGGUGCGAGCGUUGUCCGGAAUUAUUGGGCGUAAAGAGCUCGUAGGCGGUCUGUCGCGUCUGCUGUGAAAAUCCAGGGCUCAACCCUGGACCUGCAGUGGGUACGGGCAGGCUAGAGUUCGGUAGGGGAGAUCGGAAUUCCUGGUGUAGCGGUGAAAUGCGCAGAUAUCAGGAAGAACACCGAUGGCGAAGGCAGUUCUCUGGGACGGUACUGACGCUGAGACGCGAAAGCGUGGGGAGCGAACAGG
RNAcentral lists this ribosomal RNA (253 nucleotides) under uncultured bacterium. RNAcentral describes it as "partial 16S ribosomal RNA". It matches the Rfam family "Bacterial small subunit ribosomal RNA", at positions 524 to 776 of the family's 1533-position model. The record is from RNAcentral.